This 72-nucleotide transfer RNA is filed under the name Bos taurus (domestic cattle). It matches the Rfam family "tRNA". Rfam says of the family: Transfer RNA (tRNA) molecules are approximately 80 nucleotides in length. RNAcentral also lists the same sequence under 1 other name. The record is from Rfam by way of RNAcentral. Lineage: Eukaryota; Metazoa; Chordata; Mammalia; Artiodactyla; Bovidae.
UCCCCGGUGGCUCAGGCGGUAAAGCGUCUGCCUACAAUGCGGGAGACCCGGGUUCAAUCCCUGGGUCGGGAA